AGUGAACGCUGGCGGUAGGCCUAACACAUGCAAGUCGAACGGCGGCACAGUAAGAGCUUGCUCUUACGGGUGGCGAGUGGCGGACGGGUGAGGAAUACAUCGGAAUCUACUUUUUCGUGGGGGAUAACGUAGGGAAACUUACGCUAAUACCGCAUACGACCUACGGGUGAAAGCAGGGGAUCUUCGGACCUUGCGCGAUUGAAUGAGCCGAUGUCGGAUUAGCUAGUUGGCGGGGUAAAGGCCCACCAAGGCGACGAUCCGUAGCUGGUCUGAGAGGAUGAUCAGCCACACUGGAACUGAGACACGGUCCAGACUCCUACGGGAGGCAGCAGUGGGGAAUAUUGGACAAUGGGCGCAAGCCUGAUCCAGCCAUACCGCGUGGGUGAAGAAGGCCUUCGGGUUGUAAAGCCCUUUUGUUUGGAAAGAAAAGCAGCAGGUUAAUACCCCGCUGUUCUGACGGUACCCAAAGAAUAAGCACCGGCUAACUUCGUG
RNAcentral lists this ribosomal RNA (492 nucleotides) under uncultured bacterium. Its description in RNAcentral is "partial 16S ribosomal RNA". It matches the Rfam family "Bacterial small subunit ribosomal RNA", at positions 29 to 507 of the family's 1533-position model. The record is from RNAcentral.